UGGGGAAUUUUGGACAAUGGGCGAAAGCCUGAUCCAGCAAUGCCGCGUGUGUGAAGAAGGCCUUCGGGUUGUAAAGCACUUUUGUCCGGAAAGAAAUCCUUGGCUCUAAUACAGUCGGGGGAUGACGGUACCGGAAGAAUAAGCACCGGCUAACUACGUGCCAGCAGCCGCGGUAAUACGUAGGGUGCAAGCGUUAAUCGGAAUUACUGGGCGUAAAGCGUGCGCAGGCGGUUUGCUAAGACCGAUGUGAAAUCCCCGGGCUCAACCUGGGAACUGCAUUGGUGACUGGCAGGCUAGAGUAUGGCAGGAGGGGGGUAGAAUUCCACGUGUAGCAGUGAAAUGCGUAGAGAUGUGGAGGAAUACCGAUGGCGAAGGCAGCCCCCUGGGCCAAUACUGACGCUCAUGCACGAAAGCGUGGGGAGCAAACAGGAUUAGAUACCCUGGUAGUCCACGCCCUAAACGAUGUCAACUAGUUGUUGGGGAUUCAUUUCCUUAGUAACGUAGCUAACGCGUGAAGUUGACCGCCUGGGGAGUACGGUCGCAAGAUUAAAACUCAAAGGAAUUGAC
RNAcentral lists this ribosomal RNA (567 nucleotides) under uncultured bacterium. RNAcentral's name for it is "partial 16S ribosomal RNA". It matches the Rfam family "Bacterial small subunit ribosomal RNA", at positions 355 to 914 of the family's 1533-position model. The record is from RNAcentral.